Molecule: ribosomal RNA, 434 nt
Filed under: uncultured bacterium
Lineage: Bacteria
Description: partial 16S ribosomal RNA
Rfam family: Bacterial small subunit ribosomal RNA
Source: RNAcentral
AGCGAACGCUGGCGGCAGGCCUAACACAUGCAAGUCGAACGAACCUUUCGGGGUUAGUGGCGGACGGGUGGGUAACACGUGGGAACGUGCCUUUAGGUUCGGAAUAACUCAGGGAAACUUGUGCUAAUACCGAAUGUGCCCUUCGGGGGAAAGAUUAAUCGCCUUUAGAGCGGCUCGCGUCUGAUUAGCUAGUUGGUUGAGGUAAUGGCUCACCAAGGCGACGAUCAGUAGCUGGUCUGAGAGGAUGAUCAGCCACAUUGGGACUGAGACACGGCCCAAACUCCUACGGGAGGCAGCAGUGGGGAAUCUUGCGCAAUGGGCGAAAGCCUGACGCAGCCAUGCCGCGUGAAUGAUGAAGGUCUUAGGAUUGUAAAAUUCUUUCACCGGGGACGAUAAUGACGGUACCCGGAGAAGAAGCCCCGGCUAACUUCGUG